GAUGAACGCUAGCGGCAGGCCUAACACAUGCAAGUCGAGGGGCAGCACGGUGUAGCAAUACACUGGUGGCGACCGGCGCACGGGUGCGUAACGCGUAUGCAACCUACCCAUAACAGGGGGAUAACACUGAGAAAUUGGUACUAAUACCCCAUAACAUCAGGACCGGCAUCGGUUCUGGUUGAAAACUCCGGUGGUUAUGGAUGGGCAUGCGUUGUAUUAGCUGGUUGGUGAGGUAACGGCUCACCAAGGCAACGAUACAUAGGGGGACUGAGAGGUUAACCCCCCACAUUGGUACUGAGACACGGACCAAACUCCUACGGGAGGCAGCAGUGAGGAAUAUUGGUCAAUGGACGCAAGUCUGAACCAGCCAUGCCGCGUGCAGGAAGACGGCUCUAUGAGUUGUAAACUGCUUUUGUACGAGGGUAAACGCUCUUACGUGUAAGAGCCUGAAAGUAUCGUACGAAUAAGGAUCGGCUAACUCCGUG
Molecule: ribosomal RNA, 485 nt
Filed under: uncultured bacterium
Lineage: Bacteria
Also listed under: 1 other name
Description: bacterial SSU rRNA
Rfam family: Bacterial small subunit ribosomal RNA
Source: RNAcentral